CGGUACGGGUUGUGGGAGCAAGAGCCCGGAGAUGGAUUCUGAGACACGAAUCCAGGCCCUACGGGGCGCAGCAGGCGCGAAAACUUUACAAUGCGGGAAACCGUGAUAAGGGAACUCUGAGUGCCCGUUAAAUCGGGCUGUCCAUCAGUUUAAAAAACUGGUGAAGAAAGGGCCGGGCAAGACCGGUGCCAGCCGCCGCGGUAAUACCGGCGGCUCGAGUGGUGGCCACUAUUACUGGGCUUAAAGCGUUCGUAGCUGGUUUGUUAAGUCUCUGGGGAAAUCUUCCGGCUUAACCGGAAGGCGUCUCAGGGAUACUGGCAGACUAGGGACCGGAAGAGGUGAGAGGUACUCCAGGGGUAGGAGUGAAAUCCUGUAAUCCUUGGGGGACCACCUGUGGCGAAGGCGUCUCACCAGGACGGCUCCGACAGUGAGGGACGAAAGCUGGGGGAGCAAACCGGAUUAGAUACCCGGGUAGUCCCAGCCGUAAACGAUGUGCGUUAGGUGUAUCGGUGACCACGAGUCACCGAGGUGCCGAAGAGAAAUCGUGAAACGUACCGCCUGGGAAGUACGGUCGCAAGGCUGAAACU
RNAcentral lists this ribosomal RNA (587 nucleotides) under uncultured archaeon. RNAcentral's name for it is "bacterial SSU rRNA". It matches the Rfam family "Archaeal small subunit ribosomal RNA", at positions 265 to 856 of the family's 1478-position model. The record is from RNAcentral.